RNAcentral lists this ribosomal RNA (429 nucleotides) under Acidobacteriota bacterium. Its description in RNAcentral is "Acidobacteria bacterium partial 16S ribosomal RNA". It matches the Rfam family "Bacterial small subunit ribosomal RNA", at positions 355 to 776 of the family's 1533-position model. The record is from RNAcentral. Lineage: Bacteria; Pseudomonadati; Acidobacteriota.
UGGGGAAUUUUGGACAAUGGGGGAAACCCUGAUCCAGCCAUCCCGCGUGUGCGAUGAAGGCCUUCGGGUUGUAAAGCACUUUUGGCAGGAAAGAAACGUCAUGGGUUAAUACCCCGUGAAACUGACGGUACCUGCAGAAUAAGCACCGGCUAACUACGUGCCAGCAGCCGCGGUAAUACGUAGGGUGCAAGCGUUAAUCGGAAUUACUGGGCGUAAAGCGAGCGCAGGCGGUUCGGAAAGAAAGAUGUGAAAUCCCAGAGCUCAACUUUGGAACUGCAUUUUUAACUACCGCGCCAGAGUGUGUCAGAGGGAAGUGGAAUUCCGCGUGUAGCAGUGAAAUGCGUAGAUAUGCGAAGGAACACCUAUAGCGAAGGCAGCCUCCUGGGAUAACACUGACGCUCAUGCACGAAAGCGUGGGGAGCAAACAGG